RNAcentral lists this ribosomal RNA (1333 nucleotides) under uncultured bacterium. Its description in RNAcentral is "bacterial SSU rRNA". It matches the Rfam family "Bacterial small subunit ribosomal RNA", at positions 28 to 1382 of the family's 1533-position model. The record is from RNAcentral.
GACGAACGCUGGCGGCGCGCCUAACACAUGCAAGUCGAACGAGAGAUGAGGAGCUUGCUCUUCAAAUCGAGUGGCGAACGGGUGAGUAACGCGUGAGGAACCUGCCUCAAAGAGGGGGACAACAGUUGGAAACGACUGCUAAUACCGCAUAAGCCCACGGCUCGGCAUCGAGCAGAGGGAAAAGGAGCAAUCCGCUUUGAGAUGGCCUCGCGUCCGAUUAGCUAGUUGGUGAGGUAACGGCCCACCAAGGCGACGAUCGGUAGCCGGACUGAGAGGUUGAACGGCCACAUUGGGACUGAGACACGGCCCAGACUCCUACGGGAGGCAGCAGUGGGGAAUAUUGCACAAUGGGGGAAACCCUGAUGCAGCGACGCCGCGUGGAGGAAGAAGGUCUUCGGAUUGUAAACUCCUGUUGUUGAGGAAGAUAAUGACGGUACUCAACAAGGAAGUGACGGCUAACUACGUGCCAGCAGCCGCGGUAAAACGUAGGUCACAAGCGUUGUCCGGAAUUACUGGGUGUAAAGGGAGCGCAGGCGGGAGAACAAGUUGGAAGUGAAAUCCAUGGGCUCAACCCAUGAACUGCUUUCAAAACUGUUUUUCUUGAGUAGUGCAGAGGUAGGCGGAAUUCCCGGUGUAGCGGUGGAAUGCGUAGAUAUCGGGAGGAACACCAGUGGCGAAGGCGGCCUACUGGGCACCAACUGACGCUGAGGCUCGAAAGUGUGGGUAGCAAACAGGAUUAGAUACCCUGGUAGUCCACACCGUAAACGAUGAUUACUAGGUGUUGGAGGAUUGACCCCUUCAGUGCCGCAGUUAACACAAUAAGUAAUCCACCUGGGGAGUACGACCGCAAGGUUGAAACUCAAAGGAAUUGACGGGGGCCCGCACAAGCAGUGGAGUAUGUGGUUUAAUUCGACGCAACGCGAAGAACCUUACCAAGUCUUGACAUCCCUUGACGAUGCUGGAAACAGUAUUUCUCUUCGGAGCAAGGAGACAGGUGGUGCAUGGUUGUCGUCAGCUCGUGUCGUGAGAUGUUGGGUUAAGUCCCGCAACGAGCGCAACCCUUAUGGUCAGUUACUACGCAAGAGGACUCUGGCCAGACUGCCGUUGACAAAACGGAGGAAGGUGGGGAUGACGUCAAAUCAUCAUGCCCUUUAUGACUUGGGCUACACACGUACUACAAUGGCGUUAAACAAAGAGAAGCAAGACCGCGAGGUGGAGCAAAACUCAGAAACAACGUCCCAGUUCGGACUGCAGGCUACAACUCGCCUGCACGAAGUCGGAAUUGCUAGUAAUCGUGGAUCAGCAUGCCACGGUGAAUACGUUCCCGGGCCUU